ACAUAGGGUGCAAGCGUUGUCCGGAAUUAUUGGGCGUAAAGAGCUCGUAGGUCGUUUGUUACGUCGGAUGUGAAAACCUGAGGCUCAACCUCAGGCCUGCAUUCGAUACGGGCAAACUAGAGUUUGGUAGGGGAGACUGGAAUUCCUGGUGUAGCGGUGGAAUGCGCAGAUAUCAGGAGGAACACCAAUGGCGAAGGCAGGUCUCUGGGCCAAUACUGACACUGAGGAGCGAAAGUCUGGGGAGCGAACAGG
Molecule: ribosomal RNA, 252 nt
Filed under: uncultured bacterium
Lineage: Bacteria
Description: partial 16S ribosomal RNA
Rfam family: Bacterial small subunit ribosomal RNA
Source: RNAcentral